GGCUCAGAUUGAACGCUGGCGGAAUGCUUUACACAUGCAAGUCGAACGGCAGCACGGACUUCGGUCUGGUGGCGAGUGGCGAACGGGUGAGUAAUAUAUCGGAACGUGCCCAGUCGUGGGGGAUAACGUAGUGAAAAUUACGCUAAUACCGCAUACGAUCUAAGGAUGAAAGCGGGGGAUCGCAAGACCUCGCGCGAUUGGAGCGGCCGAUAUCAGAUUAGGUAGUUGGUGAGGUAAAGGCUCACCAAGCCAACGAUCUGUAGCUGGUCUGAGAGGACGACCAGCCACACUGGAACUGAGACACGGUCCAGACUUCUACGGGAGGCAGCAGUGGGGAAUUUUGGACAAUGGACGCAAGUCUGAUCCAGCCAUUCCGCGUGCAGGACGAAGGCCUUCGGGUUGUAAACUGCUUUUGUACAGAACGAAAAGGUCUCUAUUAAUACUAGGGGCUCAUGACGGUACUGUAAGAAUAAGCACCGGCUAACUACGUG
RNAcentral lists this ribosomal RNA (491 nucleotides) under uncultured bacterium. RNAcentral describes it as "bacterial SSU rRNA". It matches the Rfam family "Bacterial small subunit ribosomal RNA", at positions 21 to 507 of the family's 1533-position model. The record is from RNAcentral.